AAAUAAAAUUUGUUAUUAGACAGGCGUUGAUUUUAUUGCCUAUUUUCAGCUAAAAUAUGUUUCUCGUACAUGCAUAAAUAAUCAACAACUCGACAAAUAAUGUGUGUGAGAUAUCAUGUGUAUCUCUUUGGCGAUUUUCGGGUACUGUAAUAUAGUUUUAGGCUUGGUAAUAACCUAUUUUCAAGCGAUCGAGCUAGAUUCCUUUUACUAUUACUACGAAGUGAAAGGAAUAAUUGGAUUUUUCAACUCUGCAGCAGAUUUACCUGACCCACUUUUAUACGAAAAACAAUUUAAAAUAAACGGUCUUUUCUUCGAGAUACUUCCACUUGACGUCUACAAGGGACAUUUCCCCAUUGGCAUUUUGCUGGGAGUUCUGCACUCCGGAUCAGGGAUAUUAACAUUGCUUGGUAUAAGAAAUAAAUGUAAGAUCUAUUUCGCGACUGGGUUAUUUCUAAGCAGCUUCCUUCCAUACUUCAUGAUUUUCUUGUACUUGUGGAAUUUGUUUUACCAUCCUAGCCAUUCGACAUUUGUUCAAAGACUUGAAUUGGAUUGAUUAGGCUUGUCAAAUCCGGGAUGGAAGCUGCUUCAAGCCCUUUGCAGUACCUUCACUGAAGCAAAAUCCAACAGGAAGAGAAAUCAAUCAGUU
Long non-coding RNA from Drosophila subobscura, 646 nucleotides. RefSeq lists it as uncharacterized. The transcript has 4 exons. Lineage: Eukaryota; Metazoa; Arthropoda; Insecta; Diptera; Drosophilidae. The record is from RefSeq and is a predicted model, not a curated record.